AUCCGGCUGACGAAUCCUAAAUAGGACGAACGCACGUCUUGGAU
RNAcentral lists this non-coding RNA (44 nucleotides) under Schistosoma haematobium. The record is from RNAcentral. Lineage: Eukaryota; Metazoa; Platyhelminthes; Trematoda; Strigeidida; Schistosomatidae.